This 468-nucleotide ribosomal RNA is filed under the name uncultured bacterium. RNAcentral describes it as "partial 16S ribosomal RNA". It matches the Rfam family "Bacterial small subunit ribosomal RNA", at positions 28 to 507 of the family's 1533-position model. The record is from RNAcentral.
GACGAACGCUGGCGGCGUGCUUAACACAUGCAAGUCGAACGGAAAGGCCCUGCUUUUGUGGGGUGCUCGAGUGGCGAACGGGUGAGUAACACGUGAGUAACCUGCCCUUGACUUUGGGAUAACUUCAGGAAACUGGGGCUAAUACCGGAUAGGAGCUCCUGCUGCAUGGUGGGGGUUGGAAAGUUUCGGCGGUUGGGGAUGGACUCGCGGCUUAUCAGCUUGUUGGUGGGGUAGUGGCUUACCAAGGCUUUGACGGGUAGCCGGCCUGAGAGGGUGACCGGCCACAUUGGGACUGAGAUACGGCCCAGACUGGUACGGGAGGCAGCAGUGGGGAAUAUUGCACAAUGGGCGGAAGCCUGAUACAGCAGCGCCGCGUGCGGGAUGACGGCCUUCGGGUUGUAAACCGCUUUCGCCUGUGACGAAGCGUGAGUGACGGUAAUGGGUAAAGAAGCACCGGCUAACUACGUG